GUCCACAUGGUGGAUUGUCACAUAUCACUGGGUCCAGCGUCAAGGUAAUGUGACUCUUCUUCAUGGGGCCUGUCCACAGGGUGGAUUGUUACAUAUACCUUGCCCAGCUCACAGGUAAUAUAGUGACUCUUGGACCAAGAUUCAGCACCCCAGUGGUGCUAUGACUACCUUACCAGGCCAAUAUUUGCAGAUGAAGUUGGGACACUCACAGCAGGAGUUGACUCUCAUAUCUGGAUUUGGGACAUUUGCAAAAUUGUACAAGCAGCAAAGAAGAGUCACAUAACCUAGACGCUGGGCCCAGCAAUAUGUCACAAUUCUCAAUGAAGGCCAGGAUCAGGCAGGUAAGUAGAGUCACAUCACUUAGGCAAUAAGCCCAAAGAUAUUUCAAAUGCAUUAUAUUGGGAAGGUCCAGGCUGGAGAGUUACAUCACAUAAGUAUUUGAUUGAGGUAUGUCACAUUUGAUCGAGGUAUGCCUGGAAGGCAGCUGCCUCCACCUCCCCAAAUUUAGAACCUCACCAGUGGGAUCUGUUCAUGUGUGUGGGUGACAAUUCUGCCAGCUGGUUGUGCAUAUGCAAAUAACAACCUCAGUUUCUUAUGAAAUUGGGCUGUGUUAUGACACGCCCUGUUUCCCCCUAGGGCAUUAUAUAGUAUGCAUAAGUGCUGCAGUUUUCUGUGACCUCUGUGCAAGUAAAAAACCCAGAACCACAACUAUUGCCCUAAGCCUAACAGUGAAAGCCAACAUCUUUUCUAUUAGCUGGAUUUCGUAUAAGAGAUAACACUGAGCUUGUGAGUUGAGUUGAAACCUGACUUACUUUUCAACCUGUGGCCAAAUCCACAUCUGACAGUCACAAUUCCAACCAUGGUAUGCAUUCGCAUGUGAGAUGUAUAACCUCAUCUGUGGGCUGUGUCUAUGUUUGAAGGUAAAGGUGACAAUCCCAAUUGUUGGCUGGAUUUACCUGUGAGAGUCACAAUGUCCACUGUAGGCAGGGCCCAGGUAGGAAAGUCACAUUAUUUGGGUGCAGGGUCCAGUGAUGUGUCACACUUCCUACUGGAAGCAAGGCCCUAGCAGAAGGGAAGAGUCACAUAAUCUAGGUGAUGGGCUUAAAGAUAUAUCACAAUUUUUUCUGUGGGCAGGGCCCAGGUAGAAAAAGAUGGUAAUGUCACCUAGGUGAUAGGCUCAGAGAUAUGUCAAAAUUUUCUCUAGGAACAGGACCAAAAUAGAAGAGUCACAUUGCCAACUUUUAUGGCCCAAAUGUAUGUCCCUGUCCCAUUUUGAGCUUUACAAAAAAAUAGUCAAAUAUCAGGAGCUGGGAAAAGAUCUGUCACAAUCACACCUGCAGUAAUAUCCAGAGAUUAGAUUUACAGUCCCACACUGGUCCCAACACCAGAUAAGAGAGUGAACACGUGUGAGUUGAGUACAAGCAUGCAAGUCAGAAUCUCAACGGUGAAUUGGACUCAUGCAUGAGAGCCCCAAGACCACCUGCAGACUCUUUCUUGGUAGGAGAGUAACAGCCUCACAUGUGUGCUGAAUAUUUGUCUGAUAUCAUCUUUUUUGUUGAGCAGAUUCACAUAUAAG
Molecule: long non-coding RNA, 1576 nt
Organism: Callithrix jacchus (white-tufted-ear marmoset)
Lineage: Eukaryota; Metazoa; Chordata; Mammalia; Primates; Cebidae
Source: RefSeq, a predicted model, not a curated record